GUAAAUAUAGUUUAACAAAAACAUUAGAUUGUGAAUCUAAAGAUAGAGGUUUAUACCCUCUUAUUUACC
Molecule: transfer RNA, 69 nt
Filed under: Scaptonyx fusicauda
Lineage: Eukaryota; Metazoa; Chordata; Mammalia; Eulipotyphla; Talpidae
Description: tRNA-His
Rfam family: tRNA
About the family: Transfer RNA (tRNA) molecules are approximately 80 nucleotides in length. Their secondary structure includes four short double-helical elements and three loops (D, anti-codon, and T loops). Further hydrogen bonds mediate the characteristic L-shaped molecular structure. tRNAs have two regions of fundamental functional importance: the anti-codon, which is responsible for specific mRNA codon recognition, and the 3' end, to which the tRNAs corresponding amino acid is attached (by aminoacyl-tRNA synthetases). tRNAs cope with the degeneracy of the genetic code in two manners: having more than one tRNA (with a specific anti-codon) for a particular amino acid; and 'wobble' base-pairing, i.e. permitting non-standard base-pairing at the 3rd anti-codon position.
Source: RNAcentral